GACGAACGCUGGCGGCGUGCCUAACACAUGCAAGUCGAACGGGGCCCGCAAGGGUUCAGUGGCGAACGGGUGCGUAACACGUGAAGAACUUGUCCAUCGGCGGGGGAUAGCCGGCCCAACGGCCGGGUAAUACCGCGUACGCUUGUCGGAUGGCAUCACCUGACAAGGAAAGCAGCAAUGCACCGAUGGAGAGCUUCGCGGCCUAUCAGCUAGUUGGCGGGGUAAUGGCCCACCAAGGCGACGACGGGUAGCUGGUCUGAGAGGAUGACC
This 270-nucleotide ribosomal RNA is filed under the name uncultured bacterium. Its description in RNAcentral is "partial 16S ribosomal RNA". It matches the Rfam family "Bacterial small subunit ribosomal RNA", at positions 28 to 305 of the family's 1533-position model. The record is from RNAcentral.